GUGCCAGCCGCCGCGGUAAUACGGAGGGUGCAAGCGUUAAUCGGAAUUACUGGGCGUAAAGCGUGCGUAGGCGGCUGUUUAAGUCAGAUGUGAAAGCCCCGGGCUUAACCUGGGAACUGCAUUUGAUACUGGGCAGCUAGAGUUGAGUAGAGGAGAGGGGAAUUUCAGGUGUAGCGGUGAAAUGCGUAGAGAUCUGAAGGAACACCAGUGGCGAAGGCGCCUCUCUGGACUCAAACUGACGCUGAGGUACGAAAGCGUGGGUAGCAAACAGGAUUAGAUACCCGCGUAGUCC
Molecule: ribosomal RNA, 292 nt
Filed under: uncultured bacterium
Lineage: Bacteria
Description: partial 16S ribosomal RNA
Rfam family: Bacterial small subunit ribosomal RNA
Source: RNAcentral